This 924-nucleotide ribosomal RNA is filed under the name uncultured bacterium. RNAcentral describes it as "bacterial SSU rRNA". It matches the Rfam family "Bacterial small subunit ribosomal RNA", at positions 98 to 1019 of the family's 1533-position model. The record is from RNAcentral.
GCGAACGGGUGGAGUAAUGCAUCGGAACGUGUCCUGCCGUGGGGAUAACUGGCCGAAAGGUCAGCUAAUACCGCAUGCGACCCACGGGUGAAAGGAGGGGAUCGAAAGACCUUCCGCGGCAGGGGCGGCCGAUGCCUGAUUAGCUGGUUGGCGGGGUAAGAGCCCACCAAGGCGACGAUCAGUAGCUGGUCUGAGAGGACGACCAGCCACAUUGGGACUGAGACACGGCCCAGACUCCUACGGGAGGCAGCAGUGGGGAAUUUUGGACAAUGGGGGCAACCCUGAUCCAGCCAUGCCGCGUGCGGGAAGAAGGCCUUCGGGUUGUAAACCGCUUUUGCCGGGGACGAAAAGCGAUGUGCCAAUACCACGUCGCGCUGACGGUACCCGGAGAAUAAGCACCGGCUAACUACGUGCCAGCAGCCGCGGUAAUACGUAGGGUGCGAGCGUUAAUCGGAAUUACUGGGCGUAAAGCGUGCGCAGGCGGCUGUGCAAGACAGAUGUGAAAUCCCCGGGCCCAACCUGGGAACUGCAUUUGUGACUGCACGGCUCGAGUGUGUCAGAGGAGGGCGGAAUUCCGCGUGUAGCAGUGAAAUGCGUAGAUAUGCGGAAGAACACCGAUGGCGAAGGCGGCCCUCUGGGGCACAACUGACGCUCAUGCACGAAAGCACGGGGAGCAAACAGGAUUAGAUACCCUGGUAGUCCGUGCCCUAAACGAUGUCAACUGAUUGUCUGGGAAGCGAUUCCUGGGUAACCAAGCCAACGCGUGAAGUUGACCGCCUGGGAAGUACGGUCGCAAGAUUAAAACUCAAAGGAAUUGACGGGGACCCGCACAAGCGGUGGAUGAUGUGGAUUAAUUCGACGCAACGCGAAAAACCUUACCUAGCCUUGACAUGUCGGGAAUCCUGGUGAAAGCCGGAGUCCGCA